RNAcentral lists this ribosomal RNA (309 nucleotides) under uncultured eukaryote. Its description in RNAcentral is "partial large subunit ribosomal RNA". It matches the Rfam family "Eukaryotic large subunit ribosomal RNA", at positions 40 to 350 of the family's 3401-position model. The record is from RNAcentral.
AUAUCACUAAGCGGAGGAAAAGAAAUUAACUAAGAUUGCCCCAGUAACGGCGAGUGAAGCGGCAAAAGCCCAAAUUGGUAAUCUUCACACUGUGUGUGACGAAUUGUAAUCUAUAGGUGGAGUGCUCACCUGGUGGAGACGCAGAAGUGCCCUAGAAUGGGCCGCCAGAGAGGGUGACAGCCCCGUAUGUGGUGUCUCUGCUUAACGAGUGCCCUUCGAAGAGUCGGGUUGUUUUGAAUUGCAGCCCUAAGUGGGAGAUAGACUUCUUCUAAGGCUAAAUAUUUAUGGGAGACCGAUAGCGCACAAGUA